AAAAACAUGUCUUUUUGAUUUAAUUUAAAGUCUAAUCUGCCCACUGAUUUUUAAUUAAAGGGCUGCAGUAAUUUGACUGUACAAAGGUAGCAUAAUCAUUAGUCUUUUAAUUGAAGACUUGUAUGAAAGAUUUGAUGAGAUAUAAACUGUCUCUAAUUUAUAAUUAAAAUUUAAUUUUUUAGUUAAAAAGCUAAAAUAAAUUUAAAAGACGAGAAGACCCUAUAGAGUUUUAUAUUUUAUAAUUUAAAAUAUUUUUAUAAAAUUUUAAUAUUUAAUAAUAUAAAUUAUUUUGUUGGGGUGAUAAAAAAAUUAAAAAAACUUUUUUUAAAAUUUUACAUAGAUAAGUGUUUAAAUGAUCUUGAAUAAUGAUUAAAAGAAAAAAUUACCUUAGGGAUAACAGCGUAAUAUUUUUUUUUAGUACAAAUAAAAAAAAAAGUUUGCGACCUCGAUGUUGGAUUAAGAUAAAAUUUAAAUGCAAAAGUUUAAAAUUUUGAUCUGUUCGAUCAUUAAAAUCUUACAUGAUCUGAGCUCAAACCG
This 537-nucleotide ribosomal RNA is filed under the name Jamides bochus. Its description in RNAcentral is "partial 16S ribosomal RNA". The stretch from base 393 to 537 matches the Rfam family "Bacterial large subunit ribosomal RNA", at positions 2473 to 2618 of the family's 2925-position model. The record is from RNAcentral. Lineage: Eukaryota; Metazoa; Arthropoda; Insecta; Lepidoptera; Lycaenidae.